RNAcentral lists this ribosomal RNA (253 nucleotides) under uncultured bacterium. RNAcentral's name for it is "partial 16S ribosomal RNA". It matches the Rfam family "Bacterial small subunit ribosomal RNA", at positions 524 to 776 of the family's 1533-position model. The record is from RNAcentral.
UACGGAGGGUGCGAGCGUUGUUCGGAAUUACUGGGCGUAAAGCGCGUGCAGGCGGUCGAUUAAGUCCGGUGUGAAAGCCCGGGGCUCACCCCCGGAAGUGCGCUGGAAACUAAUCAACUAGAGUACGGGAGAGGGAAGUGGAAUUCCUGGUGUAGCGGUGAAAUGCGUAGAUAUGUGGAGGAACACCGAUGGCGAAGGCAGCCCCCUGGGGUAACACUGACGCUCAUGCACGAAAGCGUGGGGAGCAAACAGG